Molecule: ribosomal RNA, 305 nt
Filed under: uncultured bacterium
Lineage: Bacteria
Description: bacterial SSU rRNA
Rfam family: Bacterial small subunit ribosomal RNA
Source: RNAcentral
GUAAUCCUACGGGAGGCAGCAGUGGGGAAUAUUGCACAAUGGGGGAAACCCUGAUGCAGCGACGCCGCGUGAGUGAGGAAGUAUUUCGGUAUGUAAAGCUCUAUCAGCAGGGAAGAAAAUGACGGUACCUGACUAAGAAGCCCCGGCUAACUACGUGCCAGCAGCCGCGGUAAUACGUAGGGGGCAAGCGUUAUCCGGAUUUAUUGGGUUUAAAGGGUGCGUAGGCGGGCUGUUAAGUCAGCGGUCAAAUGUCGGGGCUCAACCCCGGCCUGCCGUUGAAACUGGCGGCCUCGAGUGGGCGAGAA